Molecule: unclassified non-coding RNA, 298 nt
Filed under: Hevea brasiliensis (rubber tree)
Lineage: Eukaryota; Viridiplantae; Streptophyta; Magnoliopsida; Malpighiales; Euphorbiaceae
Source: RNAcentral
GAGCCUCAGGGCUUUACCUUGAAAGGGGCACUCGAAAGGAAAAGCCCUAGCCUCCUUGAUUCCUAAUCGAUGUAAGAUUUUGCAUAAUAAUCUAUCAAUACAUCCUUCACAAUCAGAGAACUGUAACUGUGCUUCCUGCAAAACACAGAUCAAAUGCAGAGGCAGCACAACCAUUACAGCACACCAAAUUUGAUGCGCUGUACUUGCAAAAUAUCUCAGACUAAUCACAUCAAAAUUAUCCACCAACUGUCAUAAUUAUAGAGAAUAAUGCAACAAAUUGCAAUUGAAAAUAUCAAAG